CAGUCCGCAGUAUACAAGAGGCAGUGGGGAAUGGCAGGCCCUGUGUCUUGCACAUCCCCUGUCUGAAUGGGAUGCAGGAAGUGAAAGGCUUGUUUGUCCUUAGCCAAGUGUGGAUAGUUCAGGCCUGAUCCUGCCCGGGGCUCAGCAGCACACCCCACUUUCAGUCAAUGUGCAUUGCUGCAUUUAUGAACACUGAAUUUCGUCUGCCAUUUUGUUACCUAGUCACCCACAUCAAGCUGGACCAUGUUUACGCUAGGAAAAAGAUAGACAGAUCGAGGCUGAGAAGUAAAGAAAUGUAUUCAAGGCUGCAUUAAGUCAAUGGCAGAGUUAGAAUAAAACUUAGCAGGCCAUGACUGUCUCAGAUUCACAAUGAACUGUGGUGACUUAUUAUGCAUUAUGGUAGCAACCACUAAGGGAAAAAAACAAGGUUUGUGCUAUAGUAUUUUAAGGACUGUGUUCACAAAGUGUUUAAGUGUGAAAGUUUUAAACUAAUUAAUAUAAUUAAAGUUAUGACUAAAGAGUUUUGCCAUUUAUAUGACCCCUCUUUAAGCGGUUCAAGAAAAGACUGCAGUGCUAAAAUAGCACAAAGUGUAUCUAUUCCUGCUUUGGGGAGUUUUUGUUUAACUAGUGCUUCAUGUGGGGGCUAAUUCAAAUCAGAACAGUUCUUGUCAUAUCUGUAAAAUGAAGGGGAUAGAUAAACCUACAGCAAAGGGAUUGAGAAGAGCGAUCAGCCAACAGGUGCAUAAUAUGUCGGAAAUGUGACGCCUUCAUUUGUAGGCUGCAUCUGUCCCAUGGCCAAUUUUUGUUUGUGUGAUGUGCACAUCCAACACACAGAAUUUCACCCAGUGAAUAGACCAAGUGCUUCAAAGUCUCCUAUUCUACUCACAGGUUAUACUCAACAAAUGUUUGUUGGAUUCAGGGCAGUAAAUAAAAAAUGCAGGAAGAGCAAAAGAGCACAACAGCUAAAACUU
This is a non-coding RNA of Pelodiscus sinensis (Chinese soft-shelled turtle), 971 nucleotides long. Lineage: Eukaryota; Metazoa; Chordata; Testudines; Trionychidae. The record is from RefSeq and is a predicted model, not a curated record.